AAUAGGUUGCAACAGUGCGAACUGGAGCUAAUCCCCAAAGCUGUCCUCAGUUCGGAUUGCAGGCUGAAACCCGCCUGCAUGAA
This 83-nucleotide ribosomal RNA is filed under the name uncultured soil bacterium. Its description in RNAcentral is "partial 16S ribosomal RNA". It matches the Rfam family "Bacterial small subunit ribosomal RNA", at positions 1241 to 1324 of the family's 1533-position model. The record is from RNAcentral.